GACGAACGCUGGCGGCGUGCUUAACACAUGCAAGUCGAACGGAAAGGCCCUGCUUUUGUGGGGUGCUCGAGUGGCGAACGGGUGAGUAACACGUGAGUAACCUGCCCUUGACUUUGGGAUAACUUCAGGAAACUGGGGCUAAUACCGGAUAGGAGCUCCUGCUGCAUGGUGGGGGUUGGAAAGUUUCGGCGGUUGGGGAUGGACUCGCGGCUUAUCAGCUUGUUGGCGGGGUAGUGGCUUACCAAGGCUUUGACGGGUAGCCGGCCUGAGAGGGUGACCGGCCACAUUGGGACUGAGAUACGGCCCAGACUCCUACGGGAGGCAGCAGUGGGGAAUAUUGCACAAUGGGCGGAAGCCUGAUGCAGCAACGCCGCGUGCGGGAUGACGGCCUUCGGGUUGCAAACCGCUUUCGCCUGUGACGAAGCGUGAGUGACGGUAAUGGGUAAAGAAGCACCGGCUAACUACGU
This 467-nucleotide ribosomal RNA is filed under the name uncultured bacterium. RNAcentral's name for it is "partial 16S ribosomal RNA". It matches the Rfam family "Bacterial small subunit ribosomal RNA", at positions 28 to 506 of the family's 1533-position model. The record is from RNAcentral.